Molecule: ribosomal RNA, 377 nt
Filed under: uncultured eukaryote
Lineage: Eukaryota
Description: partial 18S ribosomal RNA
Rfam family: Eukaryotic small subunit ribosomal RNA
Source: RNAcentral
CAAUAGCGUAUAUUUAAGUUGCUGCAGUUAAAAAGCUCGUAGUUGGAUUUCGGGUGGGAAUGGCCGGUCCGCCGUUUCGGUGUGCACUUGCUACGCCCACCUUGCUGCCGGGGACGUGCUCUUGAGUUCACGCUCGGGACACGGAGUCGGCGAGGUUACUUUGAGUAAGUUAGAGUGUUCAAAGCAGGCCUACGCUCUGAAUACAUUAGCAUGGAAUAACACGAUAGGACUCUGGCCUAUCUUGUUGGUCUGUAGGACCGGAGUAAUGAUUAAGAGGGACAGUCGGGGGCAUUCGUAUUUCAUUGUCAGAGGUGAAAUCCUUGGAUUUAUGAAAGACGAACUACUGCGAAAGCAUUUGCCAAGGAUGUUUUCAUUGA